Long non-coding RNA from Mus musculus (house mouse), 2084 nucleotides. RefSeq annotates it as predicted gene, 51674. The record is from RefSeq and is a predicted model, not a curated record. The transcript is spliced from 2 exons. Lineage: Eukaryota; Metazoa; Chordata; Mammalia; Rodentia; Muridae.
GCGGAAGCCGCCUCCCAUCGCCGGCGGCCGGUCGCUGGCAGCGGCAUCUCGGUCCUUGCUGUCGCGCGGCUCCGAGCAUCCCCCCGGACAGCCGCAUCUUUAACCUAUCUCCCUCGGGGCAAGAGGCUCCGGUAGCUCCCGCUGAGCGUCGAGUGGAGUCCGGUGUGCGGUGCUCCCGCUCGGCGCCGCCUCCCGAUCCCUCCCUGCACCCCCCCCCUCCUCCCCCUCCCAGGCUGUCACACGCGGCCAGGCAGCGCUGGGCUUCGACCCAAGCGCUGCCGACAGCUCUGGGCAGAGAGAUGCUCCAAAUGGUCACUAUUUGUUCACCUGAGUAACUUCAAACACCCAGAACACCAAUUAUUCAACAUGAAAGAAGGGCUUCUUUCCGCCCUCAUGCUAACAAACUAACCUACAGACAACGGACCCAGAAGCUGGCGCUCAAGAGAACCAGAAAAAGCAUCAAAAGAAGGAGGCCUCUGCUGUCUAAGGACGCCUUCGUGAGUGCUUCCUUACAGCGUGGGCAAAGGUCAUGCCACUGCAGGAGACUACAGAAAUAAAGGCUGCAGGGCCCCUUCUGUCUGCAUGGAAUGGUCUCACAGAAAGAAAGAAAAAAAAGAAGCUAUAAAAUAAUUUCUUUUUAAGCUAAAUGUGGUACAUAUCUCUAAUCCCAGAAUAUAAAAUAACAGAGGCAGAAGAAACACCUAACUUGAGGAAAGCCUAAGACACAGCAAAUUCCAGGCCAGCCAGGGCUACACAGUAAGACCCUGUCUUGAAAAAAAAGAGUGAUAUAUAUGAUAAAAUAUGUAUGCACACACACACACACACAUACACACACACACACACAGAGGGGGGGGGGGGGGCUGGGAGGAAUUAGAGCUGUGUCUCAGUUGAUCCAGUGCUGCCUAGCAUUCACAAAGCUCUGGGUCCAGUCCCCAGCACUAGCUGGGUGACAGUGUAGUUUUGUAAUCUGAGCACCGAGGAGAUGGAAGCCAGAAGGUCAGAAGUUCAAGGUCAUUCUUGGCUACAUUGCAGUUUCAAGACCAGUCUGGGCUACAUAAGACCCUAUCUCAGAAAAGAAAGAAAAAGAAAAAAAAAGAAAAAUAGAAGAAAUAAGAUAGUUCCUUCUAGGAAAUUGAAUGGGAAAAUGUAAGUUAUGAUGGUUUGUAAUAGUACUUGAUCAUAAAACCCAAAGAACUCAAAAAGAAACGCAAUCUGUCUUCAUCCUUGACAAUUUAAAUGAGACAUUCCAAAAUUAAUAUCUCAAUUUUGUCAUGUAUUCUUAUACCAUUAAUUUCCCCACACACAUUCAAGCAGACCUAUAUUCAAUUCAAAUUAGUGGAGAGCUUCUCCCUCUAGCCAUGUCUCUGCAGCCCUGGGAUUUCAGUACUCCAUCACUGUCUUCAUGGAAAAAUGAUACAACACUAUGGGCCCACUCCUCUUCCAGUCUGCUCAGAACUGUUGGCCCGGGGCCAUGCGGCCAAGGGGGGCUCUCCACUCGAUGCUGAAUGUUUCUUCCCCAGGAUGAGGCACUAACUGACCUUUCGCUGACGUCUGAUGCAUCCGAAUCUUUUUGGAAGCCACAAACUGAAGGACCCUCUCCACAUUACUCUUCAUCUCUUGUUGGUUACUGGGACUCAGCUGCACUCCAGUCAGCUUUUCUCCUGCUGUGAGGAGAAGAAAAACAACAACAACAACACAUACAUCAGAAGGAAGAACAUUAUCACCGUUACAGAGAGCCAGGCACAAGGCUGAGGGUGCAAACACUCAAGUUCUCUAUUAAUAAAUGAGUGAGGUAAGACCUGGUGUGUGCUCCAGGGGAAGUGGUUGGAGAAGAGAAAAAUGAAAGACUUUCAGAACACUUCAGUCUUUCAACUGGAAGCCCAUAGUGAGGUUAUCAGUGUACAUUGAUUAAUACACUAAAUAUUCACAAGUACCCACUGUGUGCCAAACACUGCUCUGGGCACUAUAGAAAGCAGGGAAUAAGGUAAACAGAGUCUCUUCCCUUCCUUUUUUAUAUAUGCAAUGUAGCAAGUCAAUGUUUAAUAUAAUUUGGGGGAAAAAUAAAGACUGAGAAAAAAUAGCAA